AACGAACGCUGGCGGCAUGCCUAACACAUGCAAGUCGAACGAUGGCUUCGGCCAUAGUGGCGCACGGGUGAGUAGCGCGUGGGAAUCUGCCCAUUGGUCUGGAAUAACGUUGGGAAACCGACGCUAAUACCGGAUGUACCCUUCGGGGGAAAGAUUUAUUGCCAAUGGAUGAGCCCGCGUCAGAUUAGCUGGGUGGUGGGGUAACGGCCUACCAAGGCGACGAUCUGUAGCUGGUCUGAGAGGACGACCAGCCACACUGGGACUGAGACACGGCCCAGACUCCUACGGGAGGCAGCAGUGGGGAAUAUUGGACAAUGGGGGCAACCCUGAUCCAGCAAUGCCGCGUGAAUGAUGAAGGCCUUAGGGUUGUAAAGUUCUUUCGCACACGACGAUGAUGACGGUAGUGUGAGAAGAAGCCCCGGCAAACUUCGUGCCAGCCGCCGCAGUAA
RNAcentral lists this ribosomal RNA (449 nucleotides) under uncultured bacterium. RNAcentral describes it as "partial 16S ribosomal RNA". It matches the Rfam family "Bacterial small subunit ribosomal RNA", at positions 29 to 523 of the family's 1533-position model. The record is from RNAcentral.